This 67-nucleotide transfer RNA is filed under the name Marmota monax (woodchuck). Its description in RNAcentral is "tRNA.Thr". Lineage: Eukaryota; Metazoa; Chordata; Mammalia; Rodentia; Sciuridae. The record is from RNAcentral.
GGUUGUGGCUCAGUGGUAGGAUACUCACCUAGUAUGUGUGAGGUGCUGGGUUCGAUCCUCAACACCA